Molecule: long non-coding RNA, 235 nt
Filed under: Sorghum bicolor (sorghum)
Lineage: Eukaryota; Viridiplantae; Streptophyta; Magnoliopsida; Poales; Poaceae
Description: long non-coding RNA (SBIC_LNC001327)
Source: RNAcentral
ACGAGGGCUCGACGCUUCCUCCUCCAUAGGGCGGGCACCCCCAGACGCUCUGUCACCAUCAGACGUGUCGCUGAUGAUGAUAGGUUCCCCCUCGACCCCCAAUCGAGGGGGCUCGGGGGCUCCCUCUGACGCUUGCGUCUGGGACGCCUCGCCACAAGUCGGCGGCGACGAGGCAGGCACGGGACGAGACGGAGCCCUCUCGACGCCGGCUGGAGGUUGGGAACUGGAGGAGCCU